RNAcentral lists this ribosomal RNA (453 nucleotides) under uncultured bacterium. RNAcentral describes it as "bacterial SSU rRNA". It matches the Rfam family "Bacterial small subunit ribosomal RNA", at positions 30 to 477 of the family's 1533-position model. The record is from RNAcentral.
AUUGAACGCUGGCGGAAUGCUUUACACAUGCAAGUCGAGCGGCAGCGCGGGGCAACCUGGCGGCGAGCGGCGAACGGGUGAGUAAUACAUCGGAACGUGCCCAGACGUGGGGGAUAACUACUCGAAAGAGUGGCUAAUACCGCAUACGAUCUACGGAUGAAAGCGGGGGAUCGCAAGACCUCGCGCGUCUGGAGCGGCUGAUGGCAGAUUAGGUAGUUGGUGGGAUAAAAGCCUACCAAGCCAACGAUCUGUAGCUGGUCUGAGAGGAUGAUCAGCCACACUGGGACUGAGACACGGCCCAGACUCCUACGGGAGGCAGCAGUGGGGAAUUUUGGACAAUGGGCGAAAGCCUGAUCCAGCCAUUCCGCGUGCAGGAUGAAGGCCCUCGGGUUGUAAACUGCUUUUGUACAGAACGAAAAAGACUCUGGCUAAUACCUGGAGUCCAUGACGGUA